Molecule: unclassified non-coding RNA, 341 nt
Filed under: soil metagenome
Description: partial contains 5.8S ribosomal RNA, internal transcribed spacer 2, and large subunit ribosomal RNA
Rfam family: 5.8S ribosomal RNA (bases 1-120)
Source: RNAcentral
GAUGAAGAACGUAGCGAAAUGCGAUAAGUAGUGUGAAUUGCAGAAUUCAGUGAAUCAUCGAAUCUUUGAACGCACAUUGCGCCCUUUGGUAUUCCAAAGGGCAUGCCUGUUCGAGCGUCAUUUGUACCCUCAAGCUUUGCUUGGUGUUGGGCGUCUUGUCUCUAGCUUUGCUGGAGACUCGCCUUAAAGUAAUUGGCAGCCGGCCUACUGGUUUCGGAGCGCAGCACAAGUCCCACUCUCUAUCAGCAAAGGUCUAGCAUCCAUUAAGCCUUUUUUUCAACUUUUGACCUCGGAUCAGGUAGGGAUACCCGCUGAACUUAAGCAUAUCAAUAAGCGGAGGA